UACGUAGGUGGCAAGCGUUGUCCGGAUUUAUUGGGUUUAAAGGGCGCGUAGGUGGCCACUUCAAGCGUGCGGUGAAGUCGGGGCUCAACCCUGAUCGGCCGUGCGAACUGGGGGCUGGAGCACUGUAGAGGCAGGCGGAAUUCCGGGUGUAGCGGUGGAAUGCGUAGAGAUCCGGAAGAACACCGGUGGCGAAGGCGGCCUGCUGGGCAGUUUGCUGACACUGAGGCGCGACAGCGUGGGGAGCAAACAGG
Molecule: ribosomal RNA, 251 nt
Filed under: uncultured bacterium
Lineage: Bacteria
Description: partial 16S ribosomal RNA
Rfam family: Bacterial small subunit ribosomal RNA
Source: RNAcentral